AUUGAACGCUGGCGGCAGGCCUAACACAUGCAAGUCGAGCGGAUGAGAGGAGCUUGCUCCUCGAUUCAGCGGCGGACGGGUGAGUAAUGCCUAGGAAUCUGCCUAGUAGUGGGGGACAACGUGUCGAAAGGAACGCUAAUACCGCAUACGUCCUACGGGAGAAAGUGGGGGAUCUUCGGACCUCACGCUAUUAGAUGAGCCUAGGUCGGAUUAGCUAGGUGGUAGGGUAAAGGCCUACCAAGGCGACGAUCCGUAACUGGUCUGAGAGGAUGAUCAGUCACACUGGAACUGAGACACGGUCCAGACUCCUACGGGAGGCAGCAGUGGGGAAUAUUGGACAAUGGGCGAAAGCCUGAUCCAGCCAUGCCGCGUGUGUGAAGAAGGCCUUCGGGUCGUAAAGCACUUUAAGUUGGGAGGAAGGGCUCAUAGCGAAUACCUGUGAGUUUUGACGUUACCAACAGAAUAAGCACCGGCUAACUUCGUGCCAGCCGCCGCCGUAA
This 500-nucleotide ribosomal RNA is filed under the name uncultured bacterium. RNAcentral's name for it is "partial 16S ribosomal RNA". It matches the Rfam family "Bacterial small subunit ribosomal RNA", at positions 30 to 523 of the family's 1533-position model. The record is from RNAcentral.